GAUGAACGCUAGCGGCAGGCUUAAUACAUGCAAGUCGUGGGGCAGCAUGGGGUAGCAAUACUCUGAUGGCGACCGGCAAACGGGUGAGGAACAUGUACGCAACCUUCCUUUAACUGGAGAAUAGCCCCUCGAAAGAGGGAUUAAUACUCCGUAAGAUAUUUUUAAGGCAUCUUAUUAAUAUUAUAGCUCCGGCGGUUAAAGAUGGGCGUGCACCUGAUUAGAUAGUUGGCGGGGUAACGGCCCACCAAGUCUGCGAUCAGUAACUGGUGUGAGAGCACGACCAGUCACACGGGCACUGAGACACGGGUCCGACUCCUACGGGAGGCAGCAGUAAGGAAUAUUGGUCAAUGGACGCAAGUCUGAACCAGCCAUGCCGCGUGGAGGAUUAGGGCCCUCUGGGUUGUAAACUCCUUUUAUCUGGGAGAAAUGUACUUUUUCUUGAGUACUUGACGGUACCAGAGGAAUAAGCACGGCUAACUCCGUGCCAGCAGCCGCGGU
This 498-nucleotide ribosomal RNA is filed under the name uncultured bacterium. RNAcentral describes it as "bacterial SSU rRNA". It matches the Rfam family "Bacterial small subunit ribosomal RNA", at positions 28 to 521 of the family's 1533-position model. The record is from RNAcentral.